CCGCACGCGCGCUACACUGACAGAGCCAACGAGUUCUUCACCUUGGCCGAAAGGUCUGGGUAAUCUUGUUAAACUCUGUCGUGCUGGGGAUAGAGCAUUGCAAUUAUUGCUCUUCAACGAGGAAUGCCUAGUAAGCGCGUGUCAUCAGCAUGCGUUGAUUACGU
RNAcentral lists this ribosomal RNA (164 nucleotides) under uncultured eukaryote. RNAcentral's name for it is "partial 18S rRNA". It matches the Rfam family "Eukaryotic small subunit ribosomal RNA", at positions 1487 to 1650 of the family's 1831-position model. The record is from RNAcentral.